This 254-nucleotide ribosomal RNA is filed under the name uncultured bacterium. RNAcentral describes it as "partial 16S ribosomal RNA". It matches the Rfam family "Bacterial small subunit ribosomal RNA", at positions 524 to 776 of the family's 1533-position model. The record is from RNAcentral.
UACGAAGGGGGCUAGCGUUGCUCGGAAUCACUGGGCGUAAAGGGUGCGUAGGCGGCUCAGUUAGUCGGGUGUGAAACCCCCGGGCUCAACCCGGGGACGCCACCCGAUACUGCUGUGGCUAGAGUCCGGUAGGGGAGCGUGGAAUUCCUGGUGUAGCGGUGAAAUGCGCAGAUAUCAGGAGGAACACCAGCGGCGAAGGCGGCGCUCUGGGCCGGAACUGACGCUGAGGAGCGAAAGCGUGGGGAGCGAACAGG